CAAUAAUGGCCAAUAUAUUAUCGCUUCGCUCACUGUUGGACAGCGAUAAGCUUAUCAGACCAAAUUUUAAUAACUAGUAUCGAAAGCUAAAGAUCGUCUUAGAGCACAAAAAGAUCUUGUACAUGCUUACUGAUUUCGCACCUAAAGAAUCUGCUGCGAAUGCACCUCGUGCGAUGAGAGACACUUAUUUGAAGUGGCUUAAUGGCCAUACAAUAGUACGUUGCAUCAUGAGGGC
This 235-nucleotide long non-coding RNA is filed under the name Elaeis guineensis (African oil palm). RNAcentral's name for it is "long non-coding RNA (EGUI_LNC029511)". Lineage: Eukaryota; Viridiplantae; Streptophyta; Magnoliopsida; Arecales; Arecaceae. The record is from RNAcentral.